AAGUAAUGCUGUCUUCAGUUAGAACAGAGCUUGGAAGUGUUCCUUCCUCUUGAAUUGUUUGAAAUAGUCUGAGAAUAGGUUUUUGUUCUUCAUUGAAUGUUUGGUAAAACUCUCCUGUUAAGCCGUCUGGU
Molecule: long non-coding RNA, 131 nt
Organism: Pipistrellus kuhlii (Kuhl's pipistrelle)
Lineage: Eukaryota; Metazoa; Chordata; Mammalia; Chiroptera; Vespertilionidae
Exons: 3
Source: RefSeq, a predicted model, not a curated record